GCGAGGCCGAAAGGCGUAGUCGAUGGGAAACAGGUUAAUAUUCCUGUACUUGGUGUUACUGCGAAGGGGGGACGGAGAAGGCUAUGUUAGCCGGGCGACGGUUGUCCCGGUUUAAGCAUGUAGGCUGAUUAUCCAGGCAAAUCCGGAUAAUCAAGGCUGAGGUGUGAUGACGAGGCACUACGGUGCUGAAGUAACAAAUGCCCUGCUUCCAGGAAAAGCCUCUAAGCAUCAGGUAACAUCAAAUCGUACCCCAAACCGACACAGGUGGUCAGGUAGAGAAUACCAAGGCGCUUGAGAGAACUCGGGUGAAGGAACUAGGCAAAAUGGUGCCGUAACUUCGGGAGAAGGCACGCUGGUGUGUAGGUGA
Molecule: ribosomal RNA, 367 nt
Filed under: Klebsiella pneumoniae
Lineage: Bacteria; Pseudomonadati; Pseudomonadota; Gammaproteobacteria; Enterobacterales; Enterobacteriaceae
Also listed under: 1 other name
Description: partial 23S ribosomal RNA
Rfam family: Bacterial large subunit ribosomal RNA
Source: RNAcentral